AGAGUUUGAUCAUGGCUCAGAACGAACGCUGGCGGCGUGCCUAACACAUGCAAGUCGAGCGCGAAUGGAGCAAUCCUAGUAGAGCGGCGCACGGGUGAGUAACACGUGGGUAAUCUGCCUGGAAGUCCGGGACAACCCGCCGAAAGGCUGGCUAAUACCGGAUAAGCCCACGAGGUCUUCGGACCUCGGGGGAAAAGAUGGCCUCUGCAUGCAAGCUAUCACUUCCAGAUGAGCCCGCGACCCAUCAGCUAGUUGGCGGGGUAAUGGCCCACCAAGGCAACGACGGGUAGCUGGUCUGAGAGGACGAUCAGCCACACUGGAACUGAGACACGGUCCAGACUCCUACGGGAGGCAGCAGUGGGGAAUUUUGCGCAAUGGGCGAAAGCCUGACGCAGCAACGCCGCGUGUGUGAUGAAGGUCUUCGGAUCGUAAAGCACUUUCGACCGGGACGAAAACCCGCUGGCUAAUAUCCAGCGGUUUGACGGUACCGGGAGAAGAAGCACCGGCUAACUCUGUGCCAGCAGCCGCGGUAAUACAGAGGGUGCAAGCGUUGUUCGGAAUUAUUGGGCGUAAAGCGCGUGUAGGCGGCUUUGCAAGUCGGGUGUGAAAGCCCUCGGCUCAACCGAGGAAGUGCGCCCGAAACUGCAUGGCUCGAGUCCCGGAGAGGAUGGCGGAAUUCCCGAAGUAGAGGUGAANNUCGUAGAUAUCGGGAGGAACACCGGUGGCGAAGGGGCCAUCUGGACGGACACUGACGCUGAGACGCGAAAGCGUGGGUAGCAAACAGGAUUAGAUACCCUAGUAGUCC
RNAcentral lists this ribosomal RNA (805 nucleotides) under uncultured bacterium. RNAcentral describes it as "bacterial SSU rRNA". It matches the Rfam family "Bacterial small subunit ribosomal RNA", at positions 8 to 796 of the family's 1533-position model. The record is from RNAcentral.